This is a non-coding RNA of Pelobates cultripes (western spadefoot toad), 1155 nucleotides long. Lineage: Eukaryota; Metazoa; Chordata; Amphibia; Anura; Pelobatidae. The record is from the annotation of a GenBank genome assembly.
CUCACAUAUAACAUUCCAACCCCAGCCCCGGUAACCAAACCACCGAAACUACACCACAGAACUUGGAAAGCCCAGCUGUAGACCGUGACGUCAAACUGCAGCUCUCCGUUGCGCCCAGUGUACGUAUGAGUGGCCGACCACCCAUGCCAUCCAACCUGUAAAACAUAAAGCAAACUUAGACAACCACAAAACAACCACCAACAUUCCCCCUUUUCCAUCCUCCAACUUAAACCAACUUGUCUGGCCUAAUGUAAGACCUGAACCUCAGGGACUCCCACCUGCCAAUCUUUUUCACCCGUUCGUCACCUAAACCUAGUCUCGCUGCUUCAGUAGCCGCACCAGUCCUGAAAGAAUGUGUCCCGAAUUGGCCCGGGUCCACACCCAACCUUGCCAACGCCUUCUGAAAAACCUCGAGGAACUGGAACUUCGAUAGCGAAGAGCCGUCCUCAUGCUUGAAAUAUGAACCCCCGGCCAUUGCCCGCACCUCCCGGAAGGCCGUUGCGCACUUAACCGGGCAAGUUCUCCCACCCGGGAGCUCCCACAACGUAACCAACGUUCCUUUCCCCAUUACAUCCGUUUUGGACCGCCUCACCCUUGGCGAUUGCUGCUAACUAGCUUGAUGACCCGAUAUGCCCCAAAAAAGGCAAAACUAAAAACCACGGAAAACAACGUCACUUUGUAUCCUGAAAAACACACCGCGGGCAGCACUCGGACCACCCGCUGCAGCAAUUCGAAUGACACCGGCCUCCUAGUAUCCACUGACACUUUACCCCUCCUGAAACCUUUCAGUGCCUGUCUAACCAGAAAUUUUUUGGUAGCAUCCUCCCACCCGUUAAAUUUGAACAAGAACGCUAGCGCUGCCAGCUUACGCCCCAUCACCGCUGCCGAAACCCCUGUGGUAACUGACCUACACAAGAGCCACAGCAGCGCAUCCAACCGCGCCUCCUCUGAGAGCUGACCCCCUGUCUGCUGCACCAGUUCGUCCCAUUCCCCCCACACCUUACUGUAUGCCACCCAGGUACCGGGUGCCAGAGAAUCCCUGAUCAGUCCGCCAAGCAUGAUGUCCCGAGCCGCCACAUAUCGUCCGGGCAAGACAUCCCUUCCUCCCGUGCGCCAGGUGCCACCUGCCGAAAUCUCUCCCACUGUGAACGAGAC